Long non-coding RNA from Centropristis striata (black sea bass), 603 nucleotides. RefSeq lists it as uncharacterized. The transcript has 2 exons. The record is from RefSeq and is a predicted model, not a curated record. Lineage: Eukaryota; Metazoa; Chordata; Actinopteri; Perciformes; Serranidae.
UUGAACGACACCAAAAGCUUGAAACUGAAGCAGCUAAAUGGAAUUCAGCCAUAAUCUUUACAUUGUUUAAACCUUUAAAACUUUUCCUACUGAGAUGAGGCAUCUUCAGGUUUACAUUUCUCUAAAAGACAGUAAAUUAGAAAAAAAUAAUUCUAAUCUUUGAAAUCUAGGAAUUCAUCAGCUCAGUUAACCAGCGUGUCUGGAUUGGUCUGACUAAGAGAAAAAACAACUGGAAAUGGGUAGAUGGAACAGCAGCUUCCACAACGUACUGGGGAAGACGCCAGCCUGAUAAUAGCGGAAAUGAAGAAGACUGUGUUGAGAUUACAGAUCGGUCUCCUGCAACGGAAAACUGGAAUGAUUUGAAAUGCAGUAAAAAAUUAAACUUUAUCUGUGAAAUAAUGUUUAACUAAAAUCAAAGUAUUAUUGUAUACUUUUGGACUAAGGCCUCAUCUGUUUUGCUCUCACACAUGUAAAAUAUCAAUAACGUUCUUCCACCUCUAAAUAAGUGCAUCUCUCUGCUGUAUGUUCAUGUUUAAAGAAACACCUGAUGUCAAUUACUUGUUGUGAUUGUGAUGUAAUAAAAAUACCAAAUUAAUUGUAAAA